GUGCAUAUGAUGGAAAAAAAAUCGACUCUCCUGAGUCCUAUGAUGCCUUCAAAGGAACCACUGAUGCAC
Molecule: small nucleolar RNA, 69 nt
Organism: Cricetulus griseus (Chinese hamster)
Lineage: Eukaryota; Metazoa; Chordata; Mammalia; Rodentia; Cricetidae
Gene: SNORD42
Rfam family: Small nucleolar RNA SNORD42
About the family: snoRNA U42 is found in intron 3 of the ribosomal protein L23a (RPL23a) gene in humans and is also present in mice. U42 is a member of the C/D class of snoRNA which contain C (UGAUGA) and D (CUGA) box motifs.
Source: Ensembl